RNAcentral lists this ribosomal RNA (465 nucleotides) under uncultured bacterium. Its description in RNAcentral is "partial 16S ribosomal RNA". It matches the Rfam family "Bacterial small subunit ribosomal RNA", at positions 338 to 795 of the family's 1533-position model. The record is from RNAcentral.
CCUACGGGAGGCAGCAGUAGGGAAUCUUCCACAAUGGGCGAAAGCCUGAUGGAGCAACGCCGCGUGGGUGAAGAAGGUCUUCGGAUCGUAAAACCCUGUUGUUAGAGAAGCAAGUGCUUGAGAGUAACUGUUCACGUUUCGACGGUAUCUACCCAGAACGCCACGUCUAACUACGUGCCAGCAGCCACGGUAAUACGGAGGUGGCAAGCGUUGUCCGGAUUUAUUGGGCGUAAAGGGAACGCAGGCGGUCUUUUAAGUCUGAUGUGAAAGCCGUCGGCUUAACCGGAGUAGUUCAUUGGAAACUGGGAGACUUGAGUGCAGAAGAGGAGAGUGGAACUCAAUGUGUAGCGGUGAAAUGCGUAGAUAUAUGGAAGAACACCAGUGGCGAAAGCGGCUUGCUGGGCUGUAACUGACGCUGAGGUUCGAAAGCGUGGGUAGCAAACAGGAUUAGAGACCCCGGUAGUC